GCACUCGUAGCUCAGCUGGAUAGAGCGUUGGCUUGCGGAGCCAAAGGUCGUACGUUCGAAUCGUAUCGAGUGUACCA
Molecule: transfer RNA, 77 nt
Filed under: Candidatus Nomurabacteria bacterium
Lineage: Bacteria; Candidatus Nomuraibacteriota
Description: tRNA-Arg
Rfam family: tRNA
About the family: Transfer RNA (tRNA) molecules are approximately 80 nucleotides in length. Their secondary structure includes four short double-helical elements and three loops (D, anti-codon, and T loops).
Source: RNAcentral